This 20-nucleotide microRNA is filed under the name Schistosoma mansoni. Its description in RNAcentral is "sma-miR-7-3p". Its record names the gene sma-miR-7-3p. Lineage: Eukaryota; Metazoa; Platyhelminthes; Trematoda; Strigeidida; Schistosomatidae. The record is from miRBase by way of RNAcentral.
CAACAAUCACAAAUCUCCAU